UGAGGAAUAUUGGUCAAUGGGCGCAAGCCUGAACCAGCCAUCCCGCGUGAAGGAAGAAUGCGCUACGCGUUGUAAACUUCUUUUCCAGGGGGAGAAUUUUCCUGUCGAGACAGGGAUUGACGGUACCCUGGGAAUAAGCAUCGGCUAACUCCGUGCCAGCGGCCGCGGUAAUACGGAGGAUGCGAGCGUUAUCCGGCUCUAUUGGGUUUAAAGGGUGCGUAGGCGGAUUGAUAAGUCAGAGGUGAAAUUCUGCAGCUUAACCGUAGACUUGGCGUUGAUACGGUUAGUCUUGGGUGGGGUCAAGGCAGGCGGAAUGUGUAAUGUCGCGGUGAAAUGCUUAGAUAUUGCACAGAACACCGAUUGCGAAUGCAGCUUGCUGGGUCAUUACUGACGCUGAUGCACGAAAGCGUG
Molecule: ribosomal RNA, 411 nt
Filed under: uncultured bacterium
Lineage: Bacteria
Description: bacterial SSU rRNA
Rfam family: Bacterial small subunit ribosomal RNA
Source: RNAcentral